RNAcentral lists this transfer RNA (66 nucleotides) under Ochthebius viridis. RNAcentral's name for it is "tRNA-Gly". Lineage: Eukaryota; Metazoa; Arthropoda; Insecta; Coleoptera; Hydraenidae. The record is from RNAcentral.
AUUUAUAUAGUAUAAAAAUUAUAAUUGACUUCCAAUCAAAAGAUCUAACUUUUUUUAGUAUAAAUA